GUUUCUUUUCUGUCGAGGCACUGGGUGUGAACCUUCUCUGAAGACUGCUCAGUGCCCGCCUGACAGCUGGAGGGCCAGGACUCCCGCUACAGCUGCUGCUGAGGCUGUAAAUGAUACCAGGCACGGCACACCAGCUCGUCUACUUUUCUCCUUUGACGAGUCCUUUACUGAGCACUGACUGUCUUCUGAGCCGCCUUCUAGACAUGAUGGUCAACAAGCUCAGGUCGACCUGGGGUAGACAGGCACACAUCGGAUGGCCGAGCCUGAAGCCUGCCCUGUGCCCAGUGAGCGCAGCGAGGAUGCCUGCCGACAAUUCAGACCGGGCAGAGGACCGCUCUUGGGUUUGUCCCUCGAGGGUGCUGAGGGGUGAGUCCCCACAGGGAGAGCAGCAGAAGGAAGUGAAACACAGAGGAGACAGAGCUGCAAAGCGGGGCAGGCACAAGCCAGCGGGGUGGUGGGCGCUGACUGCGGGCUCUGUGCUGUGUGCACAGAAGCAGACAGUGGGCAGGGCCCAGCUCUCAGAAGUGCCUGCUUCCCGGAAGAGGUUUACGGAACCUUCGGAGGAGGGAGGUGUGGGGUUAGAGUAA
Molecule: long non-coding RNA, 587 nt
Filed under: Ovis aries (sheep)
Lineage: Eukaryota; Metazoa; Chordata; Mammalia; Artiodactyla; Bovidae
Description: lncRNA (ENSOARG00000026401.1)
Source: RNAcentral